UACGUAGGGUGCGAGCGUUGUCCGGAAUUAUUGGGCGUAAAGAGCUUGUAGGCGGUUUGUCGCGUCUGCUGUGAAAAUCCGGGGCUCAACCCCGGACUUGCAGUGGGUACGGGCAGACUAGAGUGUGGUAGGGGAGACUGGAAUUCCUGGUGUAGCGGUGAAAUGCGCAGAUAUCAGGAGGAACACCGAUGGCGAAGGCAGGUCUCUGGGCCGAUACUGACGCUGAGGAGCGAAAGCGUGGGGAGCGAACAGG
This 253-nucleotide ribosomal RNA is filed under the name uncultured bacterium. RNAcentral's name for it is "partial 16S ribosomal RNA". It matches the Rfam family "Bacterial small subunit ribosomal RNA", at positions 524 to 776 of the family's 1533-position model. The record is from RNAcentral.